RNAcentral lists this long non-coding RNA (1346 nucleotides) under Salmo salar (Atlantic salmon). RNAcentral describes it as "lncRNA (ENSSSAG00000083714.1, ENSSSAG00000108500.1)". The record is from RNAcentral. Lineage: Eukaryota; Metazoa; Chordata; Actinopteri; Salmoniformes; Salmonidae.
GGUAUAGUACACUAGGCUGGUAUAGUAAACUAGGCUGGUAUAGUGGGUAUAGUAAACUAGGCUCGUAUAGUGGAUAUAGUACACUAGGCUGGUAUAGUGGGUAUAGUACACUAGGCUGGUACGGUAAACUAGGCUGGUAUAGUAAACUAGGCUGGUAUAGUGGGUAUAGUACACUGGGCUGGUAUAGCUGGUAUAGUACACUCGGCUGGUAUAGUGGGUAUAGUACACUAGGCUGGUAUAGUAAACUAGGCUGGUAUAGUGGGUAUCGUACACUAGGCUGGUAUAGUGGGUAUAGUACACUGGGCUGGUAUAGUAAACUAGGCUGGUAUAGUAAACUAGACUCGUAUAGCACACUAGGCUGGUAUAGUGGUUAUAGUACACUAGGCUGGUAUAGUAAACUAGGCUGGUAUAGUGGGUAUAGUACACUAGGCUGGAAUAGUGGGUAUAGUACACUAGGCUAGUAUAGUGGGUAUAGUACACUAGGCUGGUAUAGUACACUAGGCUGGUUUAGUAAACUAAACUGGUAUAGUACACUAGGCUGGUAUAGUCGGUAUUGUACACUAGGCUGGUAUAGUAUACUAGGCUGGUAUAGUAAACUAUGCUGGUGUAGUAAACUAGGCUGGUAUAGUGGGUAUAGUACACUAGGCUGGUCUAGUGGGUAUAGUACACUAGGCUGGUAUUGUAAACUAGGCUGGUAUAGUGGAUAUAGCACAUUAUGCUUAUAUAGUACACUAGGCUGGUAUUGUGGGUGAAGUACACUGGGCUGGUUUCGUGGGUAUUGUAGACUUGGCUGGUUUAGUGGGUAUAUUACACUAGGUUGGUAUAGUGGGUAUUGUACACUAGGCUGGUAUAGUUGGUGUAGUACACUAGGCUGGUAAAGUGGGUAUAGUACACUAGGCUGCUAUAGUAAACUAGGCUGGUAUAGUGGAUAUAGUACACUUGGCUGAUAUAGUACACUAGGCUGGUAUUGUGGGUUUUGUACACUAGGCUGGUAUAGUGGGUAUAGUACACUUGGCUGGUAUAGUGUGUUGUGGUUGAGAUGGUAGAUAAGGGCUGUAGUAGGGUUGUAUAGUCAGUUAUGUUGGCCGUUCUGACUGAGACAAGGUUUACUUACUUUUCUUGUAUGUGAGGCAGGUAAUGUAGGUAUGAUCCCUAGAAGUCUCUUGGUCUCUCCCAGCUGUGUGCUGUGAUUGAGGUGGUGGAUUAGAGUUAUAUCAUGGGUAUUUGGUUGGUAGGUAGGUAAUGGAUAGUGGUAGUCUUUUUGUAGGCACUAACUCUGCCAUGGUUCGUUGGACAAAGCCUAUGGGAAAAAUAAAUUGUGUUUUUGUAGGGUUUUGGAUAAACGC